AAUAAGCUAAAUAAGGGCGUAUGGGGAAUGCCUAGGCUCUCAGAGGCGAUGAAGGACGUGAUAAGCUGCGAAAAGUUGCGGGGAUUGGCACAUACAAAUUGAUCCGCAAAUAUCCGAAUGGGGCAACCCACUAUAUUGAAGAUAUAGUAUCCGUAAGGAGGCGAACCCGGAGAACUGAAACAUCUAAGUACCCGGAGGAGAAGAAAACAAAAGUGAUUCCGUUAGUAGUGGCGAGCGAACGCGGAUUAGCCCAAACCAAUAUUGUUACGGCAAUAUUGGGGUUGUAGGACCACAA
This 295-nucleotide ribosomal RNA is filed under the name Neotamlana sargassicola. RNAcentral describes it as "partial 23S ribosomal RNA". It matches the Rfam family "Bacterial large subunit ribosomal RNA", at positions 1 to 311 of the family's 2925-position model. The record is from RNAcentral. Lineage: Bacteria; Pseudomonadati; Bacteroidota; Flavobacteriia; Flavobacteriales; Flavobacteriaceae.